GUGCUGCAGCUAACGCAUUAAGCACUCCGCCUGGGGAGUACGACCGCAAGGUUGAAACUCAAAGGAAUUGACGGGGGCCCGCACAAGCGGUGGAGCAUGUGGUUUAAUUCGAAGCAACGCGAAGAACCUUACCAGGUCUUGACAUCCUUUGACCACUCUAGAGAUAGAGCUUCCCCUUCGGGGGCAAAGUGACAGGUGGUGCAUGGUUGUCGUCAGCUCGUGUCGUGAGAUGUUGGGUUAAGUCCCGCAACGAGCGCAACCCUUAUUGUUAGUUGCCAUCAUUCAGUUGGGCACUCUAGCAAGACUGCCGGUGACAAACCGGAGGAAGGUGGGGAUGAC
Molecule: ribosomal RNA, 339 nt
Filed under: Shigella flexneri
Lineage: Bacteria; Pseudomonadati; Pseudomonadota; Gammaproteobacteria; Enterobacterales; Enterobacteriaceae
Description: bacterial SSU rRNA
Rfam family: Bacterial small subunit ribosomal RNA
Source: RNAcentral